Molecule: ribosomal RNA, 490 nt
Filed under: uncultured bacterium
Lineage: Bacteria
Description: partial 16S ribosomal RNA
Rfam family: Bacterial small subunit ribosomal RNA
Source: RNAcentral
GUUGAACGCUGGCGGCAGGCCUAACACAUGCAAGUCGAACGGUAACAGGAAGAAGCUUGCUUCUUUGCUGACGAGUGGCGGACGGGUGAGUAAUGUCUGGGAAACUGCCUGAUGGAGGGGGAUAACUACUGGAAACGGUAGCUAAUACCGCAUAACGUCGCAAGCCCAAAGAGGGGGACCUUCGGGCCUCUUGCCAUCGGCUGUGCCCAGAUGGGAUUAGCUAGUAGGUGGGGUAACGGCUCACCUAGGCGACGAUCCCUAGCUGGUCUGAGAGGAUGACCAGCCACACUGGAACUGAGACACGGUCCAGACUCCUACGGGAGGCAGCAGUGGGGAAUAUUGCACAAUGGGCGCAAGCCUGAUGCAGCCAUGCCGCGUGUAUGAAGAAGGCCUUCGGGUUGUAAAGUACUUUCAGCGGGGAGGAAGGGAGUAAAGUUAAUACCUUUGCUCAUUGACGUUACCCGCAGAAGAAGCACCGGCUAACUCCGUG